This 471-nucleotide ribosomal RNA is filed under the name uncultured organism. Its description in RNAcentral is "partial 16S ribosomal RNA". It matches the Rfam family "Bacterial small subunit ribosomal RNA", at positions 335 to 797 of the family's 1533-position model. The record is from RNAcentral.
ACUCCUGCGGGAGGCAGCAGUGGGGAAUUUUGGACAAUGGGCGAAAGCCUGAUCCAGCAAUGCCGCGUGAGUGAAGAAGGCCUUCGGGUUGUAAAGCUCUUUUGUCAGGGAAGAAACGGUGAGAGCUAAUAUCUUUUGCUAAUGACGGUACCUGAAGAAUAAGCACCGGCUAACUACGUGCCAGCAGCCGCGGUAAUACGUAGGGUGCAAGCGUUAAUCGGAAUUACUGGGCGUAAAGCGUGCGCAGGCGGUUUUGUAAGUCUGAUGUGAAAUCCCCGGGCUCAACCUGGGAAUUGCAUUGGAGACUGCAAGGCUAGAAUCUGGCAGAGGGGGGUAGAAUUCCACGUGUAGCAGUGAAAUGCGUAGAUAUGUGGAGGAACACCGAUGGCGAAGGCAGCCCCCUGGGUCAAGAUUGACGCUCAUGCACGAAAGCGUGGGGAGCAAACAGGAUUAGAUACCCCGGUAGUCCCA